Molecule: ribosomal RNA, 468 nt
Filed under: uncultured bacterium
Lineage: Bacteria
Description: partial 16S ribosomal RNA
Rfam family: Bacterial small subunit ribosomal RNA
Source: RNAcentral
GACGAACGCUGGCGGCGUGCUUAACACAUGCAAGUCGAACGGAAAGGCCCUGCUCUUGUGGGGUGCUCGAUUGGCGAACGGGUGAGUAACACGUGAGUAACCUGCCCUUGACUUUGGGAUAACUUCAGGAAACUGGGGCUAAUACCGGAUAGGAGCUCCUGCUGCAUGGUGGGGGUUGGAAAGUUUCGGCGGUUGGGGAUGGACUCGCGGCUUAUCAGCUUGUUGGGGGGGUAGUGGCUUACCAAGGCUUUGACGGGUAGCCGGCCUGAGAGGGUGACCGGCCACAUUGGGACUGAGAUACGGCCCAGACUCCUACGGGAGGCAGCAGUGGGGAGUAUUGCACAAUGGGCGGAAGCCUGAUGCAGAAACGCCGCGUGCGGGAUGACGGCCUUCGGGUUGUAAACCGCUUUCGCCUGUGACGAAGCGUGAGUGACGGUAAUGGGUAAAGAAGCACCGGCUAACUACGUG